GAGAUGAACGAAGUGUUUAAGGAAGGAUGCUUUUUAUUGUCGUUUGGGCUGCAAAAUAUGAUGUCUCCUGGAUGUGCAACUUGGCUUGACCUCGCUCCAAAGAAAAGCAUCCUGUUAGCAAUUUCGACAAACUUGAACACUUAGAAUACACUCCAGCUGUUUUUCUUGGUCUAAUGGCUGAAUUAGAUGGUACAGCUAUUGUCUACAAUCAUCGCAUGCAACAUGCCUAAGUCAUCUUCACAGCUUGUCUACAACCCAUAGGGCUAUUGUAUAAUUAUUUGGGAUCUGUAGCCUUGUUGUAGGUGACUUGGGUAUAUUGUAUAWGAUAGUUGGAUGCAAAAGUUGUGCCAUCUUAUUUGGCCUUAAGAAUGCUGCUUGGCCUGGUGUUGCAACCGAAGUGCCAAGCCAUCCCCAUGCUGAGUAAUGACAUGCAAAAUGAUUUGAACUACAAAACAUGAUGAUUGAGUCGUGGCUUUGGUAGGUAGUGCUAUAAUUGUUAUUGUCUUCAGGGCAUCACUUUUUCACUACAUACAAGUAAGACUUGAGGCAGAAAAUAAGCACAGAACUGUACAUUAUAUAUCUUGCAUACAUUACAGUGUUGGUAGGUUCUGGUCAAACUUGUUCAUCAUCUGAAGGAAAUGAUAUUAUGCUAUUGUAACUGUGUUGGUAUCAUAGUAUCUCCUCAUACAGCUAUUGGCUCCUAGUGAUUCUUUUUUUUAGAAGUGGAACAGACUAUUAAGUAGACUUGAACAUCUCACAACGUUAGCACAUUUCCACACAUAGUAUCAACAUAUUUUG
Molecule: long non-coding RNA, 798 nt
Organism: Exaiptasia diaphana
Lineage: Eukaryota; Metazoa; Cnidaria; Anthozoa; Actiniaria; Aiptasiidae
Exons: 3
Source: RefSeq, a predicted model, not a curated record